ACGGGGAGGGCAAGCGUUGUUCGGAAUUACUGGGCGUAAAGCGUGCGCAGGCGGUUUUGUAAGCCAGAUGUGAAAUCCCCGGGCUUAACCUGGGAAUGGCAUUUGGGACUGCAAGGCUUGAGUUUGGCAGAGGGGACUGGAAUUCCUGGUGUAGCAGUGAAAUGCGUAGAGAUCAGGAGGAAUACCGAUGGCGAAGGCAGGUCCCUGGGCUGAAACUGACGCUCAUGCACGAAAGCGUGGGGAGCAAACAGGA
This 253-nucleotide ribosomal RNA is filed under the name uncultured prokaryote. Its description in RNAcentral is "partial 16S ribosomal RNA". It matches the Rfam family "Bacterial small subunit ribosomal RNA", at positions 525 to 777 of the family's 1533-position model. The record is from RNAcentral.